ACUCCUACGGGAGGCAGCAGUGGGGAAUCUUAGACAAUGGGGGAAACCCUGAUCUAGCCAUGCCGCGUGAUCGAUGAAGGCCUUAGGGUUGUAAAGCUCUUUCAGUGGGGAAGAUAAUGACGGUACCCGCAGAAGAAGCCCCGGCUAACUCCGUGCCAGCAGCCGCGGUAAUA
RNAcentral lists this ribosomal RNA (173 nucleotides) under uncultured bacterium. Its description in RNAcentral is "partial 16S ribosomal RNA". It matches the Rfam family "Bacterial small subunit ribosomal RNA", at positions 335 to 525 of the family's 1533-position model. The record is from RNAcentral.